RNAcentral lists this ribosomal RNA (448 nucleotides) under uncultured bacterium. Its description in RNAcentral is "SSU rRNA". It matches the Rfam family "Bacterial small subunit ribosomal RNA", at positions 26 to 518 of the family's 1533-position model. The record is from RNAcentral.
AGAGCGAACGCUGGCGGCAGGCUUAACACAUGCAAGUCGAGCGGGCGUAGCAAUACGUCAGCGGCAGACGGGUGAGUAACGCGUGGGAACAUACCUUUUGGUUCGGAACAACACAGGGAAACUUGUGCUAAUACCGGAUAAGCCCUUACGGGGAAAGAUUUAUCGCCGAAAGAUUGGCCCGCGUCUGAUUAGCUAGUUGGUGAGGUAAUGGCUCACCAAGGCGACGAUCAGUAGCUGGUCUGAGAGGAUGAUCAGCCACAUUGGGACUGAGACACGGCCCAAACUCCUACGGGAGGCAGCAGUGGGGAAUAUUGGACAAUGGGCGCAAGCCUGAUCCAGCCAUGCCGCGUGAGUGAUGAAGGCCCUAGGGUUGUAAAGCUCUUUUGUGCGGGAAGAUAAUGACGGUACCGCAAGAAUAACGCCCGGCUAACUUCGCGCCAGCAGCCGC